Molecule: long non-coding RNA, 989 nt
Organism: Pelmatolapia mariae (spotted tilapia)
Lineage: Eukaryota; Metazoa; Chordata; Actinopteri; Cichliformes; Cichlidae
Exons: 3
Source: RefSeq, a predicted model, not a curated record
GUCCAGACCGGACGGUCAGACAGACUCCUGCUCAGCAAGGGAGCCCAGCAGCAGCCUGCACCGAACCAACAACCUUCUCUUUCAAUGGUGGUGAUCCAAAUCAGUGUGGAGCAGAAUGCACCAUAGAGAUGUACAACUCUCCUGUUGAACACCUCAAGACUGAAGACUGCAAGGAAAGAAUGCUAAUCUACAGCGAGCAUCUGAAGAACAACAUGCCAGUCCUCCAGCACAUUGAUCCAAAACCUGUUCCAGUUCCUCAGACACUGUCAGAGACUGUUUUGAAAGCCCUUUACUAUCAAUCUGGAUAAAAAGAAACUUUGGCAACCACUGCAAGUAUCAAGUGUUUUAAAUUUUGUUUGACUGUUUAUUAUGUACUUAUUUGUUUUUAGUUGUAUUAAGUUUGAUAUUAAUUAGAUCAGUGCCUUUUUAGUCAUUAAUUUGAUUAUUAAGUAUUAAUUGUUUAAGGCAGCACGGUGGUACGGUGGUUAGCACUGUUGCUGCUCAGCAAGAAGGUCCUGAGUUCAAUUCCACCAUCAGGCCGGGGUCUUUCUGUGUGGAGUUUGCAUGUUCUCCCCAUGUUUGCGUGGGUUCCCUCCGAGUACUCUGGCUUCCUCCCACCGUCCAAAGACAUGCAGUUUGUGGGGAUAGGUUAAUUGAUUAAUCCAAAUUGCCCAUAGGUGUAAAUGUGAGUGUGAAUGGUUGUCUGUCCCUGUGUGUUAGCCCUGUGACAGACUGGCGACUUGUCCAGGGUGUACCCCGCCUCUCGCCCUAUGACAGCUGGGAUAGGCUCCAGCGCCGCGACCCUGAAAAAGGAUAAGUAGAAGCGAAUGGAUGGAUGGAAGUUAACUAUUUAAUUUAAUCAUUGUCUCUACUGGUUUUUAUUAAUGUUUCUAGCAAAUUAUGACAAAAAGUCAAAGAAUGUAAGUUUUAUGCCAGUUAGCCCUAUUAUGUUUAUUACCUCAUUUGUUGGACCUUAAUUUUUUUAGACG